AUGUAAUAAUGUUCAUCAAAUGUCUGACCUGAAAUGAGCAUGUAGACAAGUUAAUUUAACACUGAAGAA
This is a small nucleolar RNA of Homo sapiens (human), 69 nucleotides long. The record is from Ensembl. NCBI's taxonomy places the organism in Eukaryota, Metazoa, Chordata, Mammalia, Primates, Hominidae.